RNAcentral lists this ribosomal RNA (423 nucleotides) under uncultured bacterium. RNAcentral's name for it is "bacterial SSU rRNA". It matches the Rfam family "Bacterial small subunit ribosomal RNA", at positions 207 to 622 of the family's 1533-position model. The record is from RNAcentral.
AAGACCUUGCGCUUUUGGAGCGGCCGAUGUCUGAUUAGCUUGUUGGUGAGGUAAAAGCUUACCAAGGCUUCGAUCAGUAGCUGGUCUGAGAGGACGACCAGCCACACUGGGACUGAGACACGGCCCAGACUCCUACGGGAGGCAGCAGUGGGGAAUUUUGGACAAUGGGGGAAACCCUGAUCCAGCCAUGCCGCGUGAGUGAAGAAGGCCUUCGGGUUGUAAAGCUCUUUCAGCCGGAACGAAACGGUUACGGUUAAUACCCGUGACUACUGACGGUACCGGAAGAAGAAGCACCGGCUAACUACGUGCCAGCAGCCGCGGUAAUACGUAGGGUGCGAGCGUUAAUCGGAAUUACUGGGCGUAAAGCGUGCGCAGGUGGUUUUGUAAGUCAGAUGUGAAAUCCCCGGGCUUAACCUGGGAACU